Molecule: long non-coding RNA, 630 nt
Filed under: Meriones unguiculatus (Mongolian gerbil)
Lineage: Eukaryota; Metazoa; Chordata; Mammalia; Rodentia; Muridae
Description: lncRNA (ENSMUGG00000001090.1)
Source: RNAcentral
CCCAACUCCCUCUUCCCCUUGUUAGGGCUAUCGCCUCUGAAGAACCUUCCAUUUCUCUCCUUCUAGAUCUGCAUGCCUGUUGUGUGAGUGCUGGUUGUGAUCUAUGGCCAUAAAACUUGGCCUUGUACCUGUUCAGUCACUGUGGUACUCCUGCCUUGUGCUCUCCUUUCAGUGCUCUUUCAUGCAGGGGGAGGAUGGGCCUCGUUUCUCAGCCGUAGUGCUAGGCCACUAGUGAAGCGCUUAAACUUCCUAUGUGUGCGCCCUAAUAUCUCUUCUCUUUCCAGGGGGGCCCCUCCUUAGAGCAGAGGUUCGAGUCAUACUACAACUACUGCAAUCUGUUCAACUACAUCCUCAAUGCUGAUGGACCUGCUCCCCUUGAACUCCCCAACCAAUGGCUCUGGGACAUCAUUGAUGAGUUCAUCUACCAGUUCCAGUCAUUUAGUCAGUACCGCUGCAAAACUGCGAAGAAGUCAGAGGAGGAGAUCGACUUCCUUAGAUCCAACCCUAAAAUCUGGAACGUUCACAGCGUGCUCAAUGUACUUCAUUCUCUGGUAGACAAAUCCAACAUCAACCGGCAGCUGGAGGUGUACACAAGCGGAGGUGACCCCGAAAGUGUGGCUGGGGAAUAUG